UGAAUAGGUAAACAAAAGAAGUGCAAUGGACAACGCCCAGAACACUCCUCGAGAUGUCAAUGCCCCCAUCUCCCCGAACCAAUUACAGGAGGAACCAGAAUUUUCCAACAGGGCAAAGUCCAUUGAGUCCGAGGACACCGACUUGGAGCUUGACUUCGCGAAGUUGGACAUGAUGCUGAUGACCACCUACAACAUGGAGCUGGCCGACAUUCAGAAGUCUCCAGACUCGGUGGCCAAGGAACAAGCAAUAUGGCAGCCGGAGAUCGACAAGCUGCUCGCUGACCACUUAGCUCAAAGCCAGGAACACUGAAAAGGAGUCUGAGUUUUCUGCAGCCCUGCAGAAGCUCCAGGAUCUGGAGGCUCUGAAGAGUUCCGAGGUCGCCAAGCUGGAAACCAGUUUGAGCGACAUCCAAAAGAAGCUGCUAAAUGAGAGGGUGAGGAGGAUGAACGGGGAGAACCGCAUCCAGAUGCUGAAAGAAGAGCUGGAGUUCCAGAAGAACCUUCAUUCUGAGAAGUCUCUUAUGGUGAAGUUGGACAACAGCCACCAGCAGGACAAUGGGAAUAAAAUGGCAGACAGACUGAACGAACGGCAGAUUAAACUCUACAAAGAGGAGAUUGAAGAAACCUACAGCACUAAGUUAAAAGUACUGCAAUCAUGCAAUAUAAGCACUCCCGAUCUCUGCACAACAACACCAAGAGGCAACGCCCCAACGACAUGGACAGUGACAAGGUUGAGCUGGAUGGGAAGUGCGUGA
This 755-nucleotide long non-coding RNA is filed under the name Gouania willdenowi (blunt-snouted clingfish). RNAcentral describes it as "lncRNA (ENSGWIG00000021949.1)". Lineage: Eukaryota; Metazoa; Chordata; Actinopteri; Blenniiformes; Gobiesocidae. The record is from RNAcentral.